Molecule: long non-coding RNA, 776 nt
Filed under: Sorghum bicolor (sorghum)
Lineage: Eukaryota; Viridiplantae; Streptophyta; Magnoliopsida; Poales; Poaceae
Description: long non-coding RNA (SBIC_LNC007512)
Source: RNAcentral
AUUGUGUUCCUAAUCUGUUCAGCUAUUGGAGGAUAAAUAUUUCUACCGAACCAUGCAUGACUAAUGUGGCUGCAAAUUAUAUUGGAGUCAGUUUAUAAAUGAUACAACUUCUGACAACAGUUAAGCAUUGGUGUCAUGGCAAUUUGUGAGGUGGAAUUACGGGGUUGAAGUCGAUUGGCAGGAGAUGCUAUGCUACUACUCGGCAAUUGUUCUCUGACUGUAGCUGUCUACAACUGUGGCCUUGUUUAGUUCCGAAAAGUAAAAACUUUUCGGAACUGUAGCACUUUCGUUUGUUUGUGACAAAUAUUAUCCAAUUAUGGACUAACUAGGAUCAAAAGAUUCGUCUCGUGAUUUCCAGAUAAACUGUGUAAUUAGUUUUUGUUUUCGUCUAUAUUUAAUGUUUCAUGCAUUUGCCACAAGAUUCGAUGUGACGGAGAAUCUUGAAAAUUUUUUGGUUUUCAGGGUGAACUAAACAAGGCCUGUAUUGAUAUUUGGAGAUAGUGUAUCUUCUGACAACCAAGUGAGAAGAAAACGGAUAUUAUAUUAUAGUAUUAUAGGUAAAAACUUAGAAGGCUCUCGCAGUCUUUCUUAGCCCGAACUGACAGUAGUAACAUGAUCGGAGGUCUUCCUAGCUCCUCUUAGUUUCUGAAUAGGAGAACUGUAAAACAUUGAGUUGUUGGUGUUGUCUUUGUCAAUAAAGAUGCAGCAACACCCGAUGCAUUCAUCAUCAUGCAUGACUCCAUUGAUGAAUAUCCAGGAGCCCUGUGUGUGACGGU